CUUUGAUGAGGUUCCAGGGAGUUCUGGAGCUGAACUGAUGCUUAGACUUCCACAUCCAGGCCUCCUGAGGCACUGGGGACCCCUGGCGUCAGGAGCAGGGCCUAGGACACGUGGGUAGAGGGGAGGGCCCCGGGUGCUGCUGGGAUUCCCGGUGAGGAUGCAGAAGAGGCCGAGGGAACCCGCACCCCAGCCCAGAGUUAGUCCGGGGGACUUUAAGAACUGGCAGCGGAGGCCUCGGUCUGAGGCCGGGGUCCUUCAGGACACAGAGUUGAGGAGGCGCGAGCUAGAGCCACUUGUCCAGGUGAGGUGCACACUCUCUCUGAGCCUGAUGUCAGGGGUUCUCCCAGCCCAACACAGGGGAGCCCUCUGCAGGGGAGCCGGGCACGGUCCCCUGUCAGCCCUGGCACCUCGGGGUUUCUUGGCCGGCCUGCCCCCUGACAAGCUCUCCCAACUCUGUCUUCAGGUUCAGCCCCAAACUGACACCAUGCCCCUGAGGAAUAGCAGCGAGCUUUGGAAGCAGGGAGAAGACCUAGAGGAGGCCCAGGUCCUGGUGGAUGCCCAGGUGUCUGGGGCUGAGGAGGAGGAGGAAGGGGAGGAGGAGGCUCCACCUUCCCACCUUCCCCAUCUACCCCAUCUCCGCCAUACCACCUAUCUCAUCUCUCUCUAUCUUCCUCCUCCCCCCUCCUCCUCCUCUUUCUCCUCCUCCUCCUUCUCGUCUUGCCCUUCAUUGUCCUUCUCUGGCAUGGUCUUUGGCCCCCCAGAGGAGGGGUCUGCUACUCCGGCGGCCCUCAAUGCUCCCCAGAGCUCUCAGAGUGCCGACCGCUCCCCCAAUGGUGAGGCAGCUGGUGGCCUUGCCUAGCCCGAUCCCCCUGGCCCCAGCAGCCCAGGGGAGGCGCGAGAUGAGGAGCCCUUGGUGGAAGGCAGUUUCCACAUGAAGACGGCUGCCCUGGUGGUAUUCCUGCUCCUCAAGUAUCACAACAAGCAGCCCACCAGCAAGGCAGAGAUGCUGGAGGUCUUCUCCCCAGAAUACCAGGACGACUUCCCCACCAUCUUGAGCCAAGCAUCCAGAUGCAUGCAGCUGGUCUUUGGCCUAGACGUGAUUGAAGUGGAUCCCAGCGAGCAUUCCUACAUCCUCCACCCCAUCCUGGGCCUCACCUGGGAUGGGAUGCUGAGCGAUCAGUGGGGCCUGCCCAAGACCGGCCUCCUGGGGCUGGUCCUGGGGUUGAUCCUCCUGCAGGACGGAUGUGUCUCCGAGGAGGAGGUGUGGGAAGAUCUGGGGUUCAGGGUGGGGACGAUGGCCAAGAGCACAUCGUCUGUGGGGAGCCCGGGGACCACCUCACCAACGUCUGGAUGCAGGAAGGCUACCUGGAGCGCCGGCAGGUGGCGGGCAGCGACCUUGCCCGCAACGAGUUCCUGUGGGGGCCCAGGGCCUCCGAGGAAACCAACAAUUUGCAGGUCAUGGACAUUGUGCUCCAGGUCGGUAUCAAAACCCUGCGGUCCUCCAUGGUCCUGUGAGAAAAUAUUCUGAGAUAAGGAAGAGGGGGCUGCAGCCCCAAGGGCGGCCAGGCCUUUUCCAAGCUUUUGUGGGGCCGGUAUGAAGGGAGGCCUUAGGGUGCUUCCUCCCGGUGUCCUGUUGGGUGUGUAAAGAGGAAGACCUGGGUGUUCUCAGGGGUUAAGGGCCAGGGCAGUUUGGGAAAGCAGGGCCAAGAGCCUCUCUGGGGGCCUGGGUUCUGCAAUGACCCUGGCAUCCAGAGCUUGGUUUCUUUGAGGAAGCUCCCCAUGUUUGGUCCUUGGGAUAGAAGGGUUCCCCAGCCCAGUGGGUGACUGACAUGCACCCCUUUGGGAUCAUACUUCCCCAGCUCAAGAGUUAGAGUUUUGUCAUGUCCUGGAUACAAGUUGGGAGACCUUCCCUCCUUGUUUGGGUUCUGGAUGAAAUCACAGGGCAAUGGCGUUGGAAUAUGUUGGAAAGGCCAAGAGUGCAGCAGGCAAGUGCUGGAGUAUGGAAAUAGGAAAAUAAACAUUGUUCACUUUUCA
RNAcentral lists this long non-coding RNA (2034 nucleotides) under Vulpes vulpes (red fox). RNAcentral's name for it is "lncRNA (ENSVVUG00000002619.1)". Lineage: Eukaryota; Metazoa; Chordata; Mammalia; Carnivora; Canidae. The record is from RNAcentral.